CGGGGGCCCAGGGUGGAGAGCACGAGGGCCUGGCCCAGGCACGGCCGGCGCCUCCGCCCUCGAGGAGGGCGUCACCUCAGCUCCCCCCGGCGGCGGAGCCGGCGGGCUCAGGCGGGCGCGGCUGAGGGGAGCGGACCGCGGGGGGCGGGAGAUGACUGCGCCCAAGGCCUUUGCGGGCCUCAGCCGGCCCCAGAGGAAGGGGAACCCGUCGAGCGGUUUGGUGCGUGUGAAGCGCGACAUGGCGAGGAAGCGGACAAGCCCGGGUGGCCCGGCGUGUAGAGGGAAGGGGGCGGGGCUAGACGCGGCCUGGACAACUACUAGAGCGCCUCGGGCUGUGCUGCUCGAGACUACAUUUCCCAGAGCGACGCGCGCGGAGCGGGCGGGAAAGAGAGCGUUUCGGGUCCAGUGCGCAGGUGCGAAAGCCAUCUUUGGUUAUAUAAGGGAGGUUCAGGAAGCCAUUCGUUCUUUCGCGUCUGCGGUGCCCGGAGUGUGGUACUUCUCCUAGUUGCAGUCAGGCUUCAUACGCUAUUGUCCUGCCCGUUAGAGCAGCCAGCGGGUACAGAAUGGAUUUUGGAAGAGGGAGUCACCACUGGACCUCCAAGGAAGCCACGUGCAGACAUCUACAACCUUCGAUCUCCUGACGAGUUUAUUGUUGGCCAAAACCAGGCUUUGAUUGAACCAGGAUGAAUGCGGGUGUUGGAAGUAGAAUAUAUAUAUACAUAUAAAAUUGGUUGGGAGCCACGUGUACCAGUGUGUGUUGAUCUUGGCUUGAUUCAGUCUGCCUUGUAACAGAAACUGGCGAUGGAAUAUGAGAGGAGCCCUCUGGAAAGAAAAGGACAGACCCUGUGCUUUCAUGAAAGUGAAGAUCUGGCUGAACCAGUUCCACAAGGUUACUGUAUACAUAGCCUGAGUUUAAAAGGCUGUGCCCACUUCAAGAAUGUCAUUGUUAGACUUUGAAAUUUCUAACUGCCUACCUGCAUAAAGAAAAUAAAAUCUUUUAAAUCAA
RNAcentral lists this long non-coding RNA (1006 nucleotides) under Homo sapiens (human). RNAcentral describes it as "non-protein coding ZFAS1:8". The stretch from base 250 to 447 matches the Rfam family "ZNFX1 antisense RNA 1 conserved region 1". Lineage: Eukaryota; Metazoa; Chordata; Mammalia; Primates; Hominidae. The record is from RNAcentral.